GAAUUAUUAGGCAAUUCUUUUUUUUACAGAUGAAAUGAGCCAAAAAAGAGUUGUAACUCAGACUGAAAAGUCAAAAAUUAUUAAAUCCCCAUGAGAAUUAUUCAAAACUAUUGCAAUACAGAAAUUGACAGGUGGAGAAAAGACACAAGUUAACUGCAAAAGAAUUAAGAAUUAAGACUUUUCAGAAUAGAAGAUGGAAUAAAAAUGCGCUCCCCAAACUUACUGCCAGAUUCUGGAACAGGGGUCAGGAACCUUUUUUGACCAAAAAGCAAAAUUUUUAUUUUUGGUUAAGAGCCAUUUUUCCAAAAGGGCAUAUAUAUAUGUGCUUGGAAAAUAUCAUCUGAAUAUCAAGUGCCUAAUAAUGAUGCACGCCGUGCAAAGAAUUUUUAAUGAUUUUAUUGAUCUAUAAGCAUUUGUAAAAUAUUUUUGCCGGCAUUACAGCUUGGUCUUCAUCUGUGAGCUUAUCUGUUUUACUGUUACAUCAUGAGUUGUGUAAAUUCAGAUAAAUUUCAUGUCACAGGAUGUCAUAGGUUUAUAAUAAUAAUAAUAAUAAUAAUAAUUUCAAACUCAUUUAAAU
Molecule: long non-coding RNA, 577 nt
Organism: Cyprinus carpio carpio
Lineage: Eukaryota; Metazoa; Chordata; Actinopteri; Cypriniformes; Cyprinidae
Source: Ensembl